GGGGAAUCUUGCGCAAUGGGCGAAAGCCUGACGCAGCAACGCCGCGUGCGGGAUGAAGGCCUUCGGGUUGUAAACCGCUUUCAGCAGGGACGAAAAUGACGGUACCUGCAGAAGAAGCUCCGGCUAACUACGUGCCAGCAGCCGCGGUAAUACGUAGGGAGCGAGCGUUGUCCGGAUUUAUUGGGCGUAAAGAGCUCGUAGGCGGUUCCGUAAGUCGAGUGUGAAAAAUCUGGGCUCAACCCAGUGAAGCACUCGAUACUGCGGUGACUAGAGUACGGUAGAGGAGUGUGGAAUUUGUGGUGUAGCGGUGAAAUGCGCAGAUAUCACAAGGAACACCAACGGCGAAGGCAGCACUCUGGGCCGGUACUGACGCUGAGGAGCGAAAGCGUGGGGAGCAAAC
This 400-nucleotide ribosomal RNA is filed under the name uncultured bacterium. Its description in RNAcentral is "bacterial SSU rRNA". It matches the Rfam family "Bacterial small subunit ribosomal RNA", at positions 356 to 773 of the family's 1533-position model. The record is from RNAcentral.